AUUGAACGCUGGCGGCAGGCCUAACACAUGCAAGUCGAACGAGUGGCGGACGGGUGAGUAAUGUCUGGGAAACUGCCUGAUGGAGGGGGAUAACUACUGGAAACGGUAGCUAAUACCGCAUACCAUCGGAUGUGCCCAGAUGGGAUUAGCUAGUAGGUGGGGUAAAGGCUCAACUAGGCGACGAUCCCUAGCUGGGCUGCGAGGAUGACCAGCUACACUGGAACUGAGACACGGUCCAGACGCCUACGGGAGGCAGCAGUGGGGAAUAUUGCACAAUGGGCGCAAUCCUGAUGCAGCCAUGCCGCGUGUAUGAAGAAGGCCUUCGGGUUGUAAAGUACUUUCAGUGGGGAGGCGUUACCCGCAGAAGAAGCACCGGCUAACUCCGUGCCAGCAGCCGCGGUAAUUC
This 406-nucleotide ribosomal RNA is filed under the name uncultured bacterium. RNAcentral describes it as "partial 16S ribosomal RNA". It matches the Rfam family "Bacterial small subunit ribosomal RNA", at positions 30 to 526 of the family's 1533-position model. The record is from RNAcentral.